AAUUAGGCAAAAUAAUUAUAUUCACCUGUUUAUCAAAAACAUGUCUUUUUGAAAAUAAUUUAAAGUCAGUUCUGCUCAAUGAAAAAAAUUAAAUAGCUGCAGUAUAUUGACUGUACAAAGGUAGCAUAAUAAUUUGUCUUUUAAUUGAAGGCUAGAAUGAAUGAAUUAAUGAAAUAUAAACUGUCUCAAUUUUAUAAAAUAAAUUUAAAUUUUAAGUUAAAAUGCUUAAAUAAAUUUGAGGGACGAUAAGACCCUAUAGAAUUUUAUAUAAUUAUAUAAUUAAUUAAUUAUAUAAUUAUAUUUAAUUGGGAGGAUUUUUAAAUUUAAUAAACUUUAAAAUUUUUAAAUAUUGAUUAAUAGAAUAAAAUGAAAUAUAAAUUUAUAAAUAAAAAAUAAAUUACCUUAGGGAUAACAGCGUAAUAUUUUUAGAAAGAUCAAAUUGAAAAAAAUGUUUGCGACCUCGAUGUUGAAUUAAAAUAAAUUAUAAAUGUAGAUGUUUAUAAAUUUAGUCUGUUCGACUUUUAAAAUUUUACAUGAUUUGAGUUCAGAUCGACGUGAGUCAGAUUGGUUUCUAUCUUCAAAAAAAUUAAAUAUUUUUGUACGAAAGGACUAAAUUUUUAAAAUAAUUUUUUAAA
This 635-nucleotide ribosomal RNA is filed under the name Osmia bucephala. RNAcentral's name for it is "partial 16S ribosomal RNA". The stretch from base 408 to 566 matches the Rfam family "Bacterial large subunit ribosomal RNA", at positions 2473 to 2632 of the family's 2925-position model. Lineage: Eukaryota; Metazoa; Arthropoda; Insecta; Hymenoptera; Megachilidae. The record is from RNAcentral.